RNAcentral lists this ribosomal RNA (1368 nucleotides) under unidentified marine bacterioplankton. RNAcentral describes it as "bacterial SSU rRNA". It matches the Rfam family "Bacterial small subunit ribosomal RNA", at positions 9 to 1371 of the family's 1533-position model. The record is from RNAcentral.
GAGUUUGAUCAUGGCUCAGAUUGAACGCUGGCGGCAUGCCUUACACAUGCAAGUCGAACGGCAGCAUGAUCUAGCUUGCUAGAUUGAUGGCGAGUGGCGAACGGGUGAGUAAUACAUCGGAACGUGCCCUGUAGUGGGGGAUAACUAGUCGAAAGAUUAGCUAAUACCGCAUACGACCUGAGGGUGAAAGUGGGGGACCGCAAGGCCUCAUGCUAUAGGAGCGGCCGAUGUCUGAUUAGCUAGUUGGUGGGGUAAAGGCCCACCAAGGCGACGAUCAGUAGCUGGUCUGAGAGGACGAUCAGCCACACUGGGACUGAGACACGGCCCAGACUCCUACGGGAGGCAGCAGUGGGGAAUUUUGGACAAUGGGGGCAACCCUGAUCCAGCAAUGCCGCGUGUGUGAAGAAGGCCUUCGGGUUGUAAAGCACUUUUGUCCGGAAAGAAAUCGCACUUACUAAUAUUAGGUGUGGAUGACGGUACCGGAAGAAUAAGGACCGGCUAACUACGUGCCAGCAGCCGCGGUAAUACGUAGGGUCCAAGCGUUAAUCGGAAUUACUGGGCGUAAAGCGUGCGCAGGCGGUCGUGCAAGACCGAUGUGAAAUCCCCGGGCUUAACCUGGGAAUUGCAUUGGUGACUGCACGGCUAGAGUGUGUCAGAGGGGGGUAGAAUUCCACGUGUAGCAGUGAAAUGCGUAGAGAUGUGGAGGAAUACCGAUGGCGAAGGCAGCCCCCUGGGAUAACACUGACGCUCAUGCACGAAAGCGUGGGGAGCAAACAGGAUUAGAUACCCUGGUAGUCCACGCCCUAAACGAUGUCAACUAGUUGUUGGGGAUUCAUUUCCUUAGUAACGUAGCUAACGCGUGAAGUUGACCGCCUGGGGAGUACGGUCGCAAGAUUAAAACUCAAAGGAAUUGACGGGGACCCGCACAAGCGGUGGAUGAUGUGGAUUAAUUCGAUGCAACGCGAAAAACCUUACCUACCCUUGACAUGCCACUAACGAAGCAGAGAUGCAUUAGGUGCUCGAAAGAGAAAGUGGACACAGGUGCUGCAUGGCUGUCGUCAGCUCGUGUCGUGAGAUGUUGGGUUAAGUCCCGCAACGAGCGCAACCCUUGUCUCUAGUUGCUACGAAAGGGCACUCUAGAGAGACUGCCGGUGACAAACCGGAGGAAGGUGGGGAUGACGUCAAGUCCUCAUGGCCCUUAUGGGUAGGGCUUCACACGUCAUACAAUGGUGCAUACAGAGGGUUGCCAAGCCGCGAGGUGGAGCUAAUCCCAGAAAAUGCAUCGUAGUCCGGAUCGUAGUCUGCAACUCGACUACGUGAAGCUGGAAUCGCUAGUAAUCGCGGAUCAGCAUGCCGCGGUGAAUACGU